RNAcentral lists this ribosomal RNA (253 nucleotides) under uncultured bacterium. Its description in RNAcentral is "partial 16S ribosomal RNA". It matches the Rfam family "Bacterial small subunit ribosomal RNA", at positions 524 to 776 of the family's 1533-position model. The record is from RNAcentral.
UACGGAGGGUGCAAGCGUUAUCCGGAUUCACUGGGUUUAAAGGGUGCGUAGGUGGGUUGGUAAGUCAGUGGUGAAAUCCCCGAGCUUAACUUGGGAACUGCCAUUGAUACUAUCAGUCUUGAAUAUCGUGGAGGUUAGCGGAAUAUGUCAUGUAGCGGUGAAAUGCUUAGAUAUGACAUAGAACACCAAUUGCGAAGGCAGCUGGCUACACGAAUAUUGACACUGAGGCACGAAAGCGUGGGGAUCAAACAGG